ACUUUCAGCAGUGGAUGUCUAGGCUCGCACAUCGAUGAAGAACGCUGCGAACUGCGAUACGUAAUGCGAAUUGCAGGAUUCAGUGAGUCAUCGAAAUUUUGAACGC
RNAcentral lists this ribosomal RNA (106 nucleotides) under Pythium insidiosum. RNAcentral's name for it is "5.8S ribosomal RNA". It matches the Rfam family "5.8S ribosomal RNA", at positions 2 to 107 of the family's 154-position model. Rfam says of the family: 5.8S ribosomal RNA (5.8S rRNA) is a component of the large subunit of the eukaryotic ribosome. It is transcribed by RNA polymerase I as part of the 45S precursor that also contains 18S and 28S rRNA. Functionally, it is thought that 5.8S rRNA may be involved in ribosome translocation. The record is from RNAcentral. Lineage: Eukaryota; Oomycota; Peronosporomycetes; Pythiales; Pythiaceae.